GAGAGGAUUGGAGAAGGAGCUCUCUUGUUCUUCUUGCUUGAUUCAAAAGCUUCCAAGGUUGAUUGGAGGAAUUCUAAGAGGCAUUUCGAAGCGGGUUUCGUGGAUUUGAAAGGUGCUUAGAUGAAGGUAUAGCAAGAAGGAUUUUUGUAACAUGCCGAAAUUUCGGUAGAAAAUAUUGGACUUUAGUCAAAUUGACUAAAGCGUGUGAAUGAAAUGGUUGGACGAGUUCUAUUUAACAUUCCUAUAAGGUUGGAAGGGUUAAAAGUGAGUUUAGAAGGAGUUGGAAAUGUUUUAGCGUUGUUCGGUAUGAAAUAGAAUCGAAACGGAGCUAAAAAUCAAGUCUGGGCAUAGUGUACCGGUACAACCAUCGAGUUGUAACCAGUACAGCAAAGUGUACCGGUACAGCAUUGAAAGUGUACCGAUACAAAUGCUACGAAACGGAGAAGCAGCUCUCGGGUUUUGUCUCUGCUCAGUCGUGUUACCGGUGACACGAGGAAGUGUACCGGUACACUUUGGGCUUGUAACAUAUCAGAUUUUGAUAUAAAAGUAAAAAAAAUAAAUAAAAAUAGUGUAAAAUACUAUUUUUAUUGGAUUUAGAGAAGUAAAAUAUAAGUCGGAAAUGACUCGUGCUGAAAGGAACUAAAACAGAAGAUUUAGAAUUUUCUGUGAGAAACGUAGCUGAUAUUUUAACAGAAAAUGCACAGUGUCAGAAAAUUAUGAAAACUGGAGAAUAUGUCGAAAUUAUUUUUUUGAGGCUAGAUUUAAAGUUUCAUAUCAUUUUGACACCUGGAAGGUAAAAAAUAAAAUCCGACUGCUAUCUGCUAGAGAUUACAGUUCGGUGGAGCUUUCGAUGACCAAAUAUGGUCGAAACUGAAAAAUUAAAAUUUCUUUGUACUUAUUAAGUAAAACCGAGCCUGACUGUCAUAUUUG
Molecule: long non-coding RNA, 930 nt
Filed under: Ananas comosus (pineapple)
Lineage: Eukaryota; Viridiplantae; Streptophyta; Magnoliopsida; Poales; Bromeliaceae
Description: long non-coding RNA (ACOM_LNC024329)
Source: RNAcentral